This is a non-coding RNA of Cebus imitator (Panamanian white-faced capuchin), 495 nucleotides long. The record is from the annotation of a RefSeq genome assembly. Lineage: Eukaryota; Metazoa; Chordata; Mammalia; Primates; Cebidae.
UGAAUAUGCAAAUAACUGAGGUGAACUUAGAUAUCUCUGUGCCCUGAGAGCAUCACCCAACAACCACACCCCUCCUCAGGAGAAGACCUCAGAACACAGCUCCUCACCAUGGACUGGACCUGGAGGAUCCUCUUCUUGGUGGCAGCAUCAACAGGUGUCCACUCCCAGGUGCAGCUGGUGCAGUCUGGGGCUGAGGUGAAGAAGCCAGAGGCCUCAGUGAAGGUCUCCUGCAAGGCUUCUGGAUAUGACUUCAGUACCUAUGGUAUCAGCUGGGUGCGACAGGCCCCUGGACAAGGGCUUGAGUGGAUGGGAGGAAUUAUCCCUAUAUUUGGUAUCACAAACUAUGCACAGAAGUUCCAGGGCAGAGUCACCAUGACUGCAGACACGUCCACAAGCACAGCCUACAUGGAGCUGAGCAGCCUGAGAUCUGAGGACACGGCCGUGUAUUACUGUGCGAGAGACACAGUGUGAAAACCACAUCCUGAGAGUGUCAGA